AUGGGCAUUCUUGAGCCGAAACAGGAGAUUAUAAAGCUACUUACCUCAGAUGUACCUGACUUGAAAGUUAUUUGUAUUGUUGGAUGCGUUGGUAUGGGAAAGACUGCCCUUUCAAGGGCUCUUUAUGAUGACAAGGAUCUUACAAUAUUCUUUGAUUGUAAAGUAUGGUUAGUGGCAUCUGAAUGCAGCAAUGCGGAAAGCGUCAAAACCAAAGUUCUUGAACAGAUUAAGCACCUGAAGUCCUGGGACGCUUUGCAUGAAUUCUUGAAGCGUAGAAGGUAUCUGUUAUUCAUCGAUGAUAUGCCCAAAGGAUCAGAAUGGAGGAUACAUGAUAUUUUUCCAUCAGAUAUGGGAAGCGAUGGCAGCAGAAUAGUUGUGACAACAAGCGUGCACUCAGUGGCUGCUUCCUACAGCUCCGGCAACCACCUAUUCACUAUGCGAUCACUUGAUAAAACUACUUCUGAAAAUUUGCUUUGGAAGAACAUCUUGGAAGCAUCACCUGCAAUAAGGAAUGGUUCAGAAACCAUCCUGCAGAAGUGUGAUGGCUUACCACUGGCUUUAAAUGGUGUUUCUGAUUAUCUAAGUUCUAAAGGAGUUCGAGGUUCGCUUUUGACUGAAUCCUGUUGUGAGGAAGUAGGGAAACAUCUUGGUAAGUUCAUGACAGGCAAUGAGAGGGCAUUUGGCAAAAUGAGAAGAGCUCUUAUCCGAUGUUAUGAUUGUUUGCCUAAUUAUGAUGUUAAGAGUUGCUUAGCAUAUACUUGCAUUUUUCCGACGCGACAUCAGAUUAACGUCAUGCAGCUAGCGAGAAAGUUGUUUGCUGAAGGCUUGGUGCAGGAAAAUAUAGCUGUUCAUGAUUGUCUCUCAACACUUAUUGAUAUGAGUAUGCUCGAGCCUACACCGCUGCGCAGCAGUCUCAGUAACACCACUAAAAGAUGUGAAUUGCACAAUGUAAUGCGAGAGUUUGCCAUCCAGAAGGCCCUUUCAAGGCAUCUUGUUACUUUUGUUACUCGAGAUGAGCUGCUGCACGAGGGCGGCCGUAUUCGCCGACUUAGUGUUCAUCAUAGCUCCAAAGCAGGAUGUGAAGCAUUGGCGAAGCAGAAGCAGUUCAGCUUGUCCUCUCUCAGGUCCUUAACAACCUUCAACAGUGAGCUUUUUGAUUUCAAGAGUAGUAAUCUGUUGCGUGUGUUAGAUCUAGAAGGUUGCAAAGGUCUUGACGAUGGAGUUGUCAAGGAUAUCUUUAACUUGGUGUUUCUCAGAUUCAUCUGCCUUAGGAAUACUGACAUAACCCGAAUUCCUAAAAGGGUAAGAAAGCUCCUGCAUCUGGAGACACUGGAUGUUCGGGAGACACAGGUGAACACAUUACCAUUGGAAGUUAUCAUGCUACCUGAAUUAGGUUCCCUGUUUGGUAUGUUUGAGCUGCAACUUCCAACUGACACGGCAGGAAUGCAAAAGCUUGUGAAGUUCUUGAAAGAUGAUAGUAAGUUGCAUGCUUUUGGUGGGCUUGUCAUCACAAAGGCACAACUUCAAGGAAGUUCAAUGGCAGAAAAACAAGCUUUUGCAAUCAUAAUAAAAGAAGCGAAAAGUCUGAGAAAGGUUAAAUUCUGGUACAAAGCUUCUGCAGUUUUCCAGAGGAAGAAAGUAUGGGUUAAAUCUUUGUUUGAUGCUGCUGCCUCAGCCUCUCAGCCUCAGGAUGAUGCUGCUGCCCCUCACUCUCAGGAUUCUGAAGCAACAGACAGUGUAUUGGCAGCCUCUCUCACCUCUUCUAUUGGCAAAAGAACCGUGGAACUCCGGUCUCUUUCUAUUGAUUUUGGUGUCCUGGAGAAUGAGUUUUUGGGUUCCAUAGAGGUUCUCGUCUCUCUCAAGUCCAUCAAACUGAGGCAAACGUCGGGAACUUUGCCUGACCCUGCAAAGUUACGCGUGAUGCGUAGUCUCAUAAAACUGCAUCUUGUUUCGACUGGUUUGACCAGCGAACAGUUGGAAGUACUGCAACACUUGGAAUGCCUGGAACUUUUGAGGAUCAAAGAGGAUCGUCCCGGAUUCUGGUGGAAGUACUGCAACACUUGGAAUGCCUGGAACUUUUGA
This 2082-nucleotide ribosomal RNA is filed under the name Triticum aestivum (bread wheat). Its description in RNAcentral is "partial small subunit ribosomal RNA". The record is from RNAcentral. Lineage: Eukaryota; Viridiplantae; Streptophyta; Magnoliopsida; Poales; Poaceae.